Long non-coding RNA from Penaeus chinensis, 1061 nucleotides. RefSeq lists it as uncharacterized. The record is from RefSeq and is a predicted model, not a curated record. NCBI's taxonomy places the organism in Eukaryota, Metazoa, Arthropoda, Malacostraca, Decapoda, Penaeidae. The transcript has 2 exons.
CUCGGCCGGGUAUAUAAAGAGGGGUUUAACCGCUUCUGAGCAUUGCCAACUGUUUCGUUGUGGUAGAACGUAAGAGCUGGAAAUUGUGCUUUCGUGCUUUGUCAAACCUAAAGUUCUUAUUUCUGCAACGGAGUCUUAUCAACAAGUUUCUCCUUGUCUGAAGUUCCACGUAACUUGUUAAAUAAGCCCGUCAGUGAGGCUCAACCUUGAGAGCGAUACGAUGCAGCAAUCCGGCAAGAACGAACCUGUCCCCAUGCUGACUCGCGUCCGCAGCAAAACGUUCAUCGUCACCGUCGAGGCGCCCGAGGGCCUCCCGAGCAUGGGAACCGCCGUCAAAGGACUCCUGCUGAACUGGCUCAAGUCUGGGAGCGUCAACGCCGCGCAGCAGAAAGGCUUUAUACUCCCCGGAACGUGGACUCAGAGCGUCACGAUGGCCAAGUGAGAGGGGUACUCCGGGAUGCGACAGCGUUUACAGCUUCAGCCAAAAUUGCAUUGCUGUGGAAGAUAUGCAGAGCUUUAACUAAUCUAAGGUGGCUUUCUAAUUAUGUAGAAUGGAAUCCUACCAAUAUUUUGGAAAGUUCAUCAAUUAUGUUUGUGUAAUUAAGAAACAUUUGAUCUCAUUCUCCCUUCACCGGAAGUGACCAGAGAAAUGGCGAAUAGAACAGUGCCGCUAGUAAAAAGCGAUAUAAAACUAGGAAUAACCUGCAAGUGUUUCGUGAGUCUUAUCAACAAGUUUCUCCUUGUCUGAAGUUCCACGUAAUGGCGGUGUAGGUUAUGGAGGCAGGUACAGUUUGUCGGGGAAACCCAAGCUUUGAAAAUCUGGUAAUAUGGAUAUAUCUUACUGAUAGAUUUAAGAUAUGCAAAUAUGAUUUUCUCUGUAGUAUAAGGUCCAAGAAUUGUUGAAAACACAUACUGUGAUGACACACUGUUAUGUAACACAUGUGAUAUAGAUGUUUAGCUUUAGUAUGAAAUGUAUACGACUAUAUUAUAUUUUAUAUGACAUUUUUAUACUACUGGUAACACUCCAGCAAUUAUAUGUAAUAAAUGCACGCGUUCACAAA